Molecule: ribosomal RNA, 253 nt
Filed under: uncultured bacterium
Lineage: Bacteria
Description: partial 16S ribosomal RNA
Rfam family: Bacterial small subunit ribosomal RNA
Source: RNAcentral
GACGAACUGUCCUAACGUUGUUCGGAAUCACUGGGCUUAAAGGGCGCGUAGGCGGUCCGACAAGUCAGGGGUGAAAUCCUGCAGCUUAACUGCAGAAGUGCCUUUGAUACUGUCGGUCUGGAGGGAGAUAGGGGUGUGCGGAACUUCCAGUGGAGCGGUGAAAUGCGUUGAUAUUGGAAGGAACGCCGGAGGCGAAAGCGGCGCACUGGAUCUCUUCUGACGCUGAGGCGCGAAAGCUAGGGGAGCAAACAGG